Molecule: unclassified non-coding RNA, 291 nt
Filed under: Hevea brasiliensis (rubber tree)
Lineage: Eukaryota; Viridiplantae; Streptophyta; Magnoliopsida; Malpighiales; Euphorbiaceae
Source: RNAcentral
GGUCGACCUUUGGCCGUUAGGAGUGGUGGGGCCAACAAAUUUGACGGUAAGAUCUCUGCCUUUCCAGGGCGGGAAGGCGGCGGAAGCAUCGACUUAGAGGUGGUUUUGGCGCCUGAAACAAUGGCUGGGAUCGCGUCUGAUUACGAAUUCAUGCAAUAUGUAUCUAACUGAUCUGCAGUUGAAUUAUCGGUGAUGAUAAUGAUCUUGUAUCGUUCAUGAUUUUCUUGUUGGGGUAUCAAGGUUGGUGAUUAAUUUGGAGCGAUGAUCGAGGAUAAGAAGAGGGAUGUUUUC